GGGUUGUGAGGUUAAGCGACUAAGCGUACACGGUGGAUGCCCUGGCAGUCAGAGGCGAUGAAGGACGUGCUAAUCUGCGAAAAGCGUCGGUAAGGUGAUAUGAACCGUUAUAACCGGCGAUGUCCGAAUGGGGAAACCCAGUGCAAUUCGUUGCACUAUCGUUAACUGAAUACAUAGGUUAACGAGGCGAACCGGGGGAACUGAAACAUCUAAGUACCCCGAGGAAAAGAAAUCAACCGAGAUUCCCCCAGUAGCGGCGAGCGAACGGGGAGCAGCCCAGAGUCUGAAUCAGCUUGUGUGUUAGUGGAACGGUCUGGAAAGUCCGACGGUACAGGGUGAUAGUCCCGUACACCAAAAUGCACAGGUUGUGAACUCGAAGAGUAGGGCGGGACACGUGGUAUCCUGUCUGAAUAUGGGGGGACCAUCCUCCAAGGCUAAAUACUCCUGACUGACCGAUAGUGAACCAGUACCGUGAGGGAAAGGCGAAAAGAACCCCGGCGAGGGGAGUGAAAAAGAACCUGAAACCGUGUACGUACAAGCAGUGGGAGCACCUUCGGGUGUGACUGCGUACCUUUUGUAUAAUGGGUCAGCGACUUAUAUUCUGUAGCAAGGUUAACCGUAUAGGGGAGCCGCAGGGAAACCGAGUCUUAACUGGGCGUUAAGUUGCAGGGUAUAGACCCGAAACCCGGUGAUCUAGCCAUGGGCAGGUUGAAGGUUGGGUAACACUAACUGGAGGACCGAACCGACUAAUGUUGAAAAAUUAGCGGAUGACUUGUGGCUGGGGGUGAAAGGCCAAUCAAACCGGGAGAUAGCUGGUUCUCCCCGAAAGCUAUUUAGGUAGCGCCUCGUGAACUCAUCUUCGGGGGUAGAGCACUGUUUCGGCUAGGGGGUCAUCCCGACUUACCAACCCGAUGCAAACUACGAAUACCGAAGAAUGUUAUCACGGGAGACACACGGCGGGUGCUAACGUCCGUCGUGAAGAGGGAAACAACCCAGACCGCCAGCUAAGGUCCCAAAGUCAUGGUUAAGUGGGAAACGAUGUGGGAAGGCACAGACAGCCAGGAUGUUGGCUUAGAAGCAGCCAUCAUUUAAAGAAAGCGUAAUAGCUCACUGGUCGAGUCGGCCUGCGCGGAAGAUGUAACGGGGCUAAACCAUGCACCGAAGCUGCGGCAGCGACACUAUGUGUUGUUGGGUAGGGGAGCGUUCUGUAAGCCUGCGAAGGUGUGCUGUGAGGCAUGCUGGAGGUAUCAGAAGUGCGAAUGCUGACAUAAGUAACGAUAAAGCGGGUGAAAAGCCCGCUCGCCGGAAGACCAAGGGUUCCUGUCCAACGUUAAUCGGGGCAGGGUGAGUCGACCCCUAAGGCGAGGCCGAAAGGCGUAGUCGAUGGGAAACAGGUUAAUAUUCCUGUACUUGGUGUUACUGCGAAGGGGGGACGGAGAAGGCUAUGUUAGCCGGGCGACGGUUGUCCCGGUUUAAGCAUGUAGGCUGAUUGUCCAGGCAAAUCCGGAUAAUCAAGGCUGAGGUGUGAUGACGAGGCACUACGGUGCUGAAGUAACAAAUGCCCUGCUUCCAGGAAAAGCCUCUAAGCAUCAGGUAACAUCAAAUCGUACCCCAAACCGACACAGGUGGUCAGGUAGAGAAUACCAAGGCGCUUGAGAGAACUCGGGUGAAGGAACUAGGCAAAAUGGUGCCGUAACUUCGGGAGAAGGCACGCUGGUGUGUAGGUGAAGUCCCUGCGGAUGGAGCUGAGACCAGUCGAAGAUACCAGCUGGCUGCAACUGUUUAUUAAAAACACAGCACUGUGCAAACACGAAAGUGGACGUAUACGGUGUGACGCCUGCCCGGUGCCGGAAGGUUAAUUGAUGGGGUUAUCCGUAAGGAGAAGCUCUUGAUCGAAGCCCCGGUAAACGGCGGCCGUAACUAUAACGGUCCUAAGGUAGCGAAAUUCCUUGUCGGGUAAGUUCCGACCUGCACGAAUGGCGUAAUGAUGGCCAGGCUGUCUCCACCCGAGACUCAGUGAAAUUGAACUCGCUGUGAAGAUGCAGUGUACCCGCGGCAAGACGGAAAGACCCCGUGAACCUUUACUAUAGCUUGACACUGAACAUUGAGCCUUGAUGUGUAGGAUAGGUGGGAGGCUUUGAAGCGUGGACGCCAGUCUGCGUGGAGCCAACCUUGAAAUACCACCCUUUAAUGUUUGAUGUUCUAACGUUGGCCCCUGACCGGGGUUGCGGACAGUGUCUGGUGGGUAGUUUGACUGGGGCGGUCUCCUCCCAAAGCGUAACGGAGGAGCACGAAGGUUAGCUAAUCCUGGUCGGACAUCAGGAGGUUAGUGCAAUGGCAUAAGCUAGCUUGACUGCGAGCGUGACGGCGCGAGCAGGUGCGAAAGCAGGUCAUAGUGAUCCGGUGGUUCUGAAUGGAAGGGCCAUCGCUCAACGGAUAAAAGGUACUCCGGGGAUAACAGGCUGAUACCGCCCAAGAGUUCAUAUCGACGGCGGUGUUUGGCACCUCGAUGUCGGCUCAUCACAUCCUGGGGCUGAAGUAGGUCCCAAGGGUAUGGCUGUUCGCCAUUUAAAGUGGUACGCGAGCUGGGUUUAGAACGUCGUGAGACAGUUCGGUCCCUAUCUGCCGUGGGCGCUGGAGAAUUGAGGGGGGCUGCUCCUAGUACGAGAGGACCGGAGUGGACGCAUCACUGGUGUUCGGGUUGUCAUGCCAAUGGCACUGCCCGGUAGCUAAAUGCGGAAGAGAUAAGUGCUGAAAGCAUCUAAGCACGAAACUUGCCCCGAGAUGAGUUCUCCCUGAGACUUUAAGUCUCCUGAAGGAACGUUAAAGACGAUGACGUUGAUAGGCCGGGUGUGUAAGCGCAGCGAUGCGUUGAGCUAACCGGUACUAAUGAACCGUGAGGCUUAACCUUACAACGCCGAAG
RNAcentral lists this ribosomal RNA (2923 nucleotides) under Klebsiella pneumoniae. Its description in RNAcentral is "bacterial LSU rRNA". It matches the Rfam family "Bacterial large subunit ribosomal RNA". Lineage: Bacteria; Pseudomonadati; Pseudomonadota; Gammaproteobacteria; Enterobacterales; Enterobacteriaceae. RNAcentral also lists the same sequence under 1 other name. The record is from RNAcentral.